Molecule: long non-coding RNA, 711 nt
Organism: Cryptomeria japonica (Japanese cedar)
Lineage: Eukaryota; Viridiplantae; Streptophyta; Pinopsida; Cupressales; Cupressaceae
Exons: 2
Source: RefSeq, a predicted model, not a curated record
AUGUGGAAGGCAUGCAAUAGUAAAUAGUUCUAAAUUGAUGGGACCAUAGCCUAACUACAGUGCACACGUUUAGCGGCAGAAGUGUGUAGAGUAUACGAUCGAGCAGUUAGGGUUUUCGUCUAGGGCAUCGCUGCCCGGGUCUAUAAAUUUUGGAUGUGGCGGAUGUUUUAGCUGGAACCAUCAUUCAUAGCCUUCGAUGAUGGAGCCUGCAAUUUUUCACCGGUUUAUUAUUUCUAGGGUUUCGGAAGCUUUAGCUAUGGCGACAAACGAUCUUCCAUUCAAUCCUAUUAUAUCUAGGGUUCCUAUAUUUACUUUCACCAACAGUAGUGUCUAGAGCAGACUGUCGAGUAUUUAGGGCUGCGCUGUCCAGGGUUUAUGAGUUUUGGAUACAGAGGAAGCAUGGGUAGGUGAAUGCUUAACCUUUCCGUAAAGCAAAGUAGGGUUUUUAUGUGGACGGCUGACGGAGCGGACAUUAUCAAAAAAUGUCUUAGAUUGAAUAUGAAAAGUCGGAAUCUUCCAUUUUUGCUCCCUCAAAGAUUUAGUGAUGUUGCAUAAAUGUAUUACGCACCGCCUCUAGCACGCGCAUAUUCAUACAUAUAUGUUUUUGUAAAUCAGGGCCCAAGGUUUUAUUGCCAUAUAUUUUUCAUAAGGCGGCAUGUAUUAAGUCCGAGGGACACCAUGUGGAGAAAUAGGUGCUGAGGGCAAAUUUGA